AAUUCAUUGACCUUGUGCCUGUCUAUCCCAACAGGAACAUAAUCAUCACCAAAGUUGUUCUCCCUGGAUUAAAACAAUAGGGACGAAGCUAACCCUAAUCAAAACGUUGCAGAACUAAAGCUGAACUUGACUGGCAAAAUAGGAUAUAAAAUUCACUCUGGUAGCCAAAUUUCCUUCACUAUCACUACUAUCAACCAACAUAAAUCCCCAGCAACACAGUAUUUGAUUAACAAAAACUGAAAACCAUGCUAAAAUACCCAGAAAGAUGCUCAUGCUUCAGGAACUUGCCCUUCUGCAGCCUCUGGAUUCA
This 310-nucleotide unclassified non-coding RNA is filed under the name Hevea brasiliensis (rubber tree). The record is from RNAcentral. Lineage: Eukaryota; Viridiplantae; Streptophyta; Magnoliopsida; Malpighiales; Euphorbiaceae.